CAGUCGCCGCGGUAAUACGGAGGGGGCUAGCGUUGUUCGGAAUUACUGGGCGUAAAGCGCACGUAGGCGGCUUGGUAAGUUAGAGGUGAAAGCCCGGAGCUCAACUCCGGAAUUGCCUUUAAGACUGCCGAGCUAGUAGGUGAGAGAGGUAAGUGGAAUUCCGAGUGUAGAGGUGAAAUUCGUAGAUAUUCGGAAGAACACCAGUGGCGAAGGCGGCUUACUGGCUCAUUCUAGACGCUGAGGUGCGAAAGCGUGGGGAGCAAACAGGAUUAGAGACCCGUGUAGUCCCUGUCUCUUAUAC
This 301-nucleotide ribosomal RNA is filed under the name uncultured bacterium. RNAcentral's name for it is "partial 16S ribosomal RNA". It matches the Rfam family "Bacterial small subunit ribosomal RNA", at positions 509 to 807 of the family's 1533-position model. The record is from RNAcentral.